AAGACUAUAGACCUGCGGAGUACCUGCGGAGGGAUCAUUACCAAUUUAUCCUUUUUACAUGGAUAAAUUUUAUCCAUAUCCACCUUGUGUGCACUACUGAAAUGUGAGUUGGCAGGUAAAAUCCGCUUUGAGGAUUUUUGCAAGUGCGGUGAGAUAUCGCUCUCGUAGCCUGCCAAUUUUAUUUGUCUACACACGUCUCUUAGUAGUUUGGACUGAAAUUAUUUAUUGAUUAAUAAAUAC
This 240-nucleotide unclassified non-coding RNA is filed under the name soil metagenome. Its description in RNAcentral is "partial contains 5.8S ribosomal RNA, internal transcribed spacer 2, and large subunit ribosomal RNA". The record is from RNAcentral.